Molecule: long non-coding RNA, 820 nt
Filed under: Equus caballus (horse)
Lineage: Eukaryota; Metazoa; Chordata; Mammalia; Perissodactyla; Equidae
Description: lncRNA (ENSECAG00000049158.1)
Rfam family: Non-coding RNA LOC285194 (bases 1-111)
Source: RNAcentral
CUUAUAUCUCCAGAGGGGAUUAGUCCCUCUGCUUCAAAGUAACCAAAACAAAGAGAGAUGAGCCAGCUUCACUGGGAACAACACCUGUCUGUCAGACGAGGAUGGGCUGGCUCAUCAAACGGCAAUCAGCGCCUGUGUGCACGACUCGACAGCCUGGACGGCUAAUACCAAGAACCAGACGAAAUGAGAAUAUGGGAGGAGCAGACCCACUGAAGCUCUUUGAGUUCUUAUAUUUGUUUUUCUUAGUAACAUGUAAUAACUAAAAGAGAACAAUUGAGUCCGACAUCCUCUGCCACGGUUAGACUUUCAGCACAGACAUGCUUUAUAUGUGGAUCUCGAUGAAGACGAAAACGAUUCGAGCUCACAGUCACUCUUGAUAUCCAUCUAAGUCUUCAGCUGGCUGUACUUCUGUAGAUUGACUAUGUGUCAGUUCUGAUGUAUCUACCUAGUAACCUUGCUUGGCUGGAAACUAUUACAUUUUCUGGCAUUUUAUCACUUCACAGAUGUCACAAAGUAUCAUCCUUAUUUCCUUCUCACCCUAACAAGGAUAAGAUUUGGGACUGGGAGAAUCAGGGAAGGAGUCAGGCACCCCACAAGAAUACCUGCCAUGAGAAAUUGUGAAUGAAUUCAAAGAUCCGGGCAGGAUGAGGGACAUUGCUGACAUAGAGAAGCCAAGAGCCUAAAGUCUGUCUAAGAGCUAUGCCAAGACUCAAGAUUCGUACUAACAAGGCAGGAUGCGGUGCCCUCCACAUGUUUUAGAAGUAACCAGCCUAAAAUAACCCUCAUCAAGUGGACACAUCACAUAGAAAUUGAAAGUAUG